UUUAAUAUCACUGUUGAUCUGUUCUUAUUCGUUACCGUCGAGUCAGUACCACAUUUUAAUCAAUUUUAUGUUGACGGCCAUGCAACGCAAUCUAAUGAUUAUUUUCCUAUCAAGGAUUAUGCCAUACUUAGCUUCAUUUCAUCAAAAUGCUCAGGUAAAUUCGUUUGGAAGUUCAUCGCAAGAGUUAUUGACAUAUCUCCUAUUUACAUUAAUAAAUAUUAUGGUAUAGUUUGUUCGAGAUAUGAUCUUCUUGCAAUAUCUAAGUGCCAUCCUCUUGAGUUCAGUCGCAAAGGUGCGGUUUGAAAUAGAUACUAAAUAUAUCUGAUAUUAAAUAUGUCCUGUUAAUGUUUGAAAAUCCCUUUGGUGCCAGGUCCUGGGGUCUUCAUCCCACUGACCCUCUUUAUCCAAUGUGCAUCGAAUGAUAUACUACAUCGCAUGUGCUAUCGUUGCUUGGUGUCCUUUCGGAAGGACGUCCGAAUAGAAUAGUCUCACAGCUAUAUAAAUUUACAGUGAUGCAUGGUAUGUUGUAUGUCGUGUCGUGUAUCAUUUUGUUUGUCGUGUCCAAUGUCAUCCUAUAUGUCAUUACAUAUGUCAUGCCUUGUGCUGUGUCGUAUGUCGUGUCGUGUUGUGUUGUGUAUCAUGUGGUAUGUCUUUUCGCAUGUUAUGUCGUGUUAUGUUUCGUGUGGUAUCAUUUUACCUCUAACGUUAUCUGGGUCUUGCCAACUCUAAAUAAGGUGGCUUCGUGCUGUUAUUUCGUGCCAAAUUCGUAAGCCGGGCGAUCAAAUAGCUCUCAAACAAGAUUAGACAGAACAUCUUGCUCUCAAUAGGCGAAACUGCAAAAUUGCAACGUGUGAAAAGCUGCUUUUGGUCAAUGUAAGGAAAAGAAGAUUGAUGAGAUUGGUUAAGCCAACACUCGAAGCAGUGAACAAGAAUACCCUCUGAUAAUUUGUUAAAUAUAAUUCUUGGCAUAUGUGAAAAUAGAAUGUUGCAUUGGUAACCAAUCGGGGGACUGAUGCUGAUUGAAUUCGUUUUACCUUAAAGGGGAACUGAAGUGAAAAAUGAAAAUCAUCUAAUUAGUAGUUUUCAUCGUGCUGAUUUCGAAUAUCGACACGAAAUUAGUGUUUUUCUUUUCGUUUUCCUGCAUUUAACGCGCAAAGUGUGAAAUUUCUCCAUUUCCGUGGCGGAGAGGUCUGGAGACAAGUUUCAGGCGCUGACGUAAAGUCGUGGACACGUGCCCCGAACCUAACGAAAACAACAGUGUAGUAGAGUGAAUCGGAGGGAGGGAAUUUGGUUAGUAGGUAAAAUUUCAGAUCGCAAUUUUCACGACAGCUCUUCAGGAAUGACAACAGACUUAAGAUCGAGCGACGAUGAAGUGUUUGGAGCAUGUGGUGGUGAAGUACUUGCCCUACCAAGGGCGAACGGGACCUGCGAAAGUGGCGAUGAAGAUUAGCCUAGGCCCGAUGAGAUCCCAGAGGAUGAGGAUGAAUUAUCUCCCGCGACGUGCUCGUUUUGUUGGUAGAAAUGAGGAAGUAAAUAAAUGGUAUCUACAAACAGUGGCCGAUCAAUGUAUGGUUUGCUGGUUUUUGGGUAUUUGUGCUGGAAUAACUGGACAACUUUAAGUAUGCAUUUAUCACAAAUGUAAAGAAAAGAACUUUAGUCAAAGAAGACAAGAGUUUCAAAAUUCUGCAGAGAGACAAUGAAAAUGCAAAAAUCAGCUACACAUACAGUGGAGAACAGGGUUAUAUACACGGGGUUAUUCAAAAGGACCAGACUUUUAGUUCAUAAUAGCAAGAAGAGAAAUUUGUUGAAACUAGUGGGACAAUGGCCAAAUCUUGUCAGCCCUAGGCCAAAUCACUAGAUUAGUCACAUCAAGGGGGGGAGGGAUUGAGCAAGGCUUGAUAUUUUUAAGAUUCCUAAGGUGUACUUUUCAACAUAGUUCACUCACAUCAAAAUGUGUAGAAUAGUUUGGAUUUGAUCAAGAUUUUCUCUUACAAUAAUGGUCCUGUACCACCUUCUUGGUAACAUUUUUUAUAAAUAAUCAGAGGAAAAUGUUUUACCUUCAGGGUACAAUGUUCUGUUAAUGUAUUCUGUCACUGCCUGUUGUUUAGAUACACUGUUUUUAAAUUUUGAGAAUGAAGUUUUUUUGUGCCCAA
Non-coding RNA from Rhopilema esculentum, 2153 nucleotides. The record is from RefSeq and is a predicted model, not a curated record. Lineage: Eukaryota; Metazoa; Cnidaria; Scyphozoa; Rhizostomeae; Rhizostomatidae.